UGGAUUUGGUUUGGCCAUGGGUUAAAAUGGUAUACUAUAUUAUAUUAUGUUUAUUUAUAUAGUAGACUCAAAACAUUCUAUUUGUAUUAUACCAUUGAUAUAGGUUUUUCUGUAGUAUAGCUCCGUUGCAUAGCAGGUUUCAAUGAGAGGGAAUUUGACCUUCCUAAGUUGAUCUUAUGGCAGUGUUUCACUGUGCUGUAUUUGGUAUGGAGUAUAGCAUAGUGUGUCAAGUGCAUCAACCUACAAAAUCCUCUUUGGGAGCGGCACAAAGUUAACCGUUGAAGCAAGUAAGUUUCAAAUGUAUCAGGCAGUAACAAUUUGCAAAAUGCUUCCCAUUGUCACUGCUAUAAGACCUGCAUGUAGUUGAUUUACAUUCUGAAAGGUUAAGAAAGGGUUUAAAAAUGCACAAUAAAUGUAUAUCUGAAUAUACAACUAGUAGGACCAAAGACAUUUGAAUCCAACCUGACUGAGAAUAUAAUAGUCAAGCAUGGGCAGAGUGCUAUUUGCUGCAUUUUCCUUGUCUUUGUCUGGGCUAGGCUUCAUAGAGUAGUUUGUGAUAUGGUGAGUGUGACAGUGUGUCUGGCAACAACAAGCUCAUUUUUGGUAGUGGCACUGCAGUGCUUAUCAACCCAAGUAAGUCCCACUUUAAUCAAAAGAUAAAGUGCUGUUUUGGAUAACAACAUAAGAAAUGUCCAGGAGUUAAAAUGUAUGCGUUGGCAUUGCAUUCACGAGGAGUUAAAAAUAAUCCCUUAGCCUUCCAUUAACAGCAUAAGAGACAUACUGUUAAGAUCAUAUUUAAGAGAUAAUAAGUGUCUUACAUUUGUAUCCCUUUGAAUGAGUUGUAAGGAUUCAGUGCUACGUAUUUGUCAUGGUGUUUAGCUUAGUGUGACUUCAAGUUCUGGAAACUACAAGCUCAUUUAUGGAAGUGGUACUAAGCUCAUUGUUAAGUCAAGUGAGUUGAAAAUUGCUUUCUUCUUUGAAAUUUUUUCAUCCUUACUAUUGAAAUAAUUCUAUGAAUUGACUAUUGGUGCCCCUAUGAUUUGUGAGAUGUAAUUAGAGGUCUUGUGGACAAUGUUUGUGUAUUCCAGCGCAGAUCUACCUUGUGUCAAUAUUCCGCAGUUUGAAACGAGAUAUGUAUUUAAGAUGGAUGACUGAUUAGAUAGGGUUUUAUGUGUGAUACAAGACAAAGAACCCUCAAAAAUGCUUUUAGAAAUUCGUUUUACGAAUAUAACUGGUUGUUGAAUGAAUUGUAAUGAUUCAGUGCUACAUAUUUGUCAUGGUGUUUAGCUUAGUGUGACUACUAGUUCUGGAAACAACAAGCUCAUUUAUGGAAGUGGUACUAAGCUCAUUGUUAAGUCAAGUGAGUUGAAAAUGGCUUUCUUACUAUUGAAAUAAUUCUAUGAAUUGACUAUUGGUGCCACUAUGAUUGCAUUUGUAAUUAGAGGUCUUGUGGACAAUGUGAGAUGUAUUUAAGAUGGAUGACUGAUUAGAUAGAGUUUUAUGUGUGAUACAACACAUAGUGUGAGGACUUCAUCAGAUAAAAUUGUCUUUGGGCAUGGAACUCAGCUCUAUGUAGAAACAGGUGAGAAUACAUCAUUAAUAGUGAUAUUAAUUGUAAAUUAUUUGGAUAACUGAAGAAUUUAAUAUCAACAAUUUAAGAUUUGAAAAUCAUACAAGCGUUAUACCAGCCACAUACUUGACAGAAGUUGUGACUACAUUAUUGUAAUGUUAUGUGGUGUGAAUACUGGCACUGUUGGAAAAGUCAUCUUUGGCCAAGGUACCAGGCUUAAUAUUGAAACACGUAAGUACAUUUCUGUUAGCAGGAUGAUUAUCACUUAUCUGAGUGAACAGUAUGUAAUGUCAAAAAUUACUAUGAAUAUACGACUUUCUGUUAAAUAUACUGUGAAUGGGACACUAUAACAUGGGCACAUGCUAUAUAUAUGCCAUCUUUCUGUUAAAUAUACUGUGAAUGGGACACUAUAACAUGGGCCCAUGCUAUAUAUAUGCCAUCUUUGUGUUAAAUAUACUGUGAAUGAGACACUAUAACAUGGGCACAUGCUAUAUAUAUGCCAUCUUUGUGUUGGUUGCAACAAAAAGGAACCCUCAAAAAUGCUUUUUAAAAGUUAGGGUAAGGAAUAUUACUGUAAUGUCAAAAAGUUUGAAGUGCAACAAAAUUGCAAGAAUGUCAUGCACUACGUUUCAUGGUAUUUGACAUGAUGUCAGUCUUGGUGUGAAUCAAGGAACUGGCAAGAUUAUUUUUGGCAGUGGAACCAAAGUGAUUGUGGAAUCACGUGAGUUUCAGAUAUUUUGUUUUAUUAAGACUGUACUGGUAAUCAAAUUUAAAAUCUCGGCUCAUAAUGAGCAUACUUAAAUGCUGUUUAACAGUAAAAGGGGUUUGCGCAGUACUGUCCAGAUCGUAAUAUGAUGUGACAUGGUUGUUGUUUUGGUAUUAAUAUCGUACGAAAUGGCAAAUGGCAAUAUCAGACAUUAUAUGUUCUUGGAACGUUUUAUAGUGUGUAGAAUUAAGCAUGCAGUAUGCACACUGUUUAAUGUGCCUUAGUGCAACACUGUGGGUUAGCUGACUCUACUGGAAGAGUGUUCUUUGGUCGUGGAACAAAACUUUCAGUUAGUCCAAGUGAGUACGCAACUAUUCCUGAAGUUUAUAUACUAAACGUAUUAAUUGGUUGUUUUUGAAUUUUUUCCGAAAGUUUAUGGUGUGGUGACAUAAACUAAUAACUAAAGCCUUAUCUGUAUAAUUAGCCUUCCAGUUGCAUUACAUUCCUAAUUUUUUUUCAUUUUGUAUACCUGAGAUAAAUAUGUCUGUGACCAUGCACUGUUGUGGGUGGCCAAACAAUGAAGCAGUUGAAUGCCUUAGUGACUACCAUCACUAGUUAAAUACCAGUGAUGUAAAAACCCUUCAGGUAGGAUGGCUUACAGAUAACAAUUCUGACUAUUGCUGAACAAUUUAACAAUACCCCAAUGAAAAAUUCAUCAGGGGUCUUUAAAAGCUUUUUGGAGGAGAUGUAUGUAGUUUUUGAUGUGGUCUAUACUUCAGUGUGACUACUGGAGGCUAUGAAAAAAUCAUAUUUGGUAGGGGCACUAAACUGACUGUGGAAUCACGUAAGUUUUAUUUAAUUUUGCUCCCACUUCAGUUCAUUUUGAAUGUUUCCAGAUAAACAAUGAAAUAUGAAUGAUAUUUUAUGUUUAAAACUCACUCAGGUUGAAAUAUCCAGAGUAUAGGUUGUCAAAAUGUCAUGAUGCUAUGUAGGUCCAAAGUAAGCCAUAUAUAAAUAUAAAGCUCACGUGAGGAUAUUCGCAUAUGUCAAGACAGUACAUUACUAUUUACCUUUACAGCAGUAUGUUUGGUUCAGAUGCUAAUUGAUAGCCAGCAGGCAUGAUUUGCCUUCACCCAAGUUAAUGUAGUGAGGGAGAAUGUUGUGUGUAUUCUGGUGGUAAACUUACCUUUGGCCGUGGAACUAAACUAUUUGUUUAUUCUGGUGAGUUACCUUUGUAUAGCUUGCCUUUCGAUGUCUCUUUUCAUAUUUUCUCACAUAGUCACCUGCCAGUUCUUUUAGUUAGACCACUAGUAUAUUUGUAUAUAUUGAAUUAGUUCCCUAAAGAAGACAAAUUCUUCUUAUCUCAACAGAGGUCUGCAUAGAUAGAAAAGGAGUGUAAAAAUGAAAUGCUUCAGACGCAAUUAAUAAGAUACUUUUAUAAUAUUGAGGAUAUUUUUUAUAAAAUCAGGUCGAUGAGUUUGUAGUAUUCUUCACAGAGCUGUUUUCCAGAGUGAGACCAAAGGUGUUAAUGUAGUCAGGUAUAGUGCUGUGUGGAUGCUGGUGGUAGUAGGAAAGUCAUCUUUGGGAAGGGGACCAAACUUUUAAUUCAGACAAGUAAGUGACCAGUAUGGACUAGGUAUUCGUGCUACUGUCAUGUAGUUGAAUUCCUUUCCUGUUUUAUUACCAACAUUUAAUGUUGGAAUUGGAACAAAAUAUUUAUCCGUGUUAAGAAAACCAACACAGGUUUAGAGACUGGUGGAUGAGUCUGUGUGAAUAAUGCUGGCACUAAGAUUGUCUUUGGGAAAGGGACUCGCCUUCUAGUGCAACAAAGUAAGCAAUGUUUUACAUAUCUAAGAUACAUACUGUAUUAUGUGUGAUUCAUAGGAUAUACUCUAUUAAGGGAAAUACAUUUAGGGCAUUACAGUGUGGUAGAAAACACUGUAUUAGUACAAAAAUAUAUGUAUUGACAGAUGGCUAAACUGUAUACUGGUUCUCCAUAUUAUGCUAUCAAAGAGGUUUAUAGAUGAGCAAGUUACCUGAUUCUAUUCUAUUAUUAAUCCGUAUUAAAGGGAGAGAGGUUGCGGUAACCUUCUGUUGGGUUUUUGGUAUGAUGUAUUUCUUAGUGUGAAUAACCAGGGAUAUAAGAUCAUUUUUGGUCAAGGAACUAAAUUGACUGUGGAACCAGGCAAGUAAUCACACAAAAUCACAGAAAUUCAAUAUAUACUGUAUAUUCUAGAAUUUCUAGAAACUUUAGAAUAGAUGCCAGAUGCCAACUUCUACCUGAAAUCGCUCCUUAUUUUUCAAAACCUUAAAUCAUUGUAGCUCCUGGGAGAAAACUCUUUAAUUUGACAAAGUGUUACUAUCACAAUUGGAUGAAAAUAAAUCAUUUCUCAGCAGUUUGAUAACCUGUCAAAAUGUUUAGUUUACAUAUUACUAUGUCAGAAUUUAAAUGUAAAUAUCUAAUCUAAAUAUAUACAUUUAAAUUCUCACAAAAUAGCUUAAAAGUAUUUACAUGAUCCAAUGUAUGUAUGUGUUGUCGAUAGUUCUGGGUUUUUGGCAUGGUCUUCUACUUUGUGUGACUACUCAGGGAGGAUAUAAGAUCUUUUUUGGUCGAGGAACUAAACUUACUGUUGAAUCAGGCAAGUGAAAUACAAAUACAUCUCUUACUUUGUAUAUGAGGGAAUUGUGUAUACAGGGAUGAGGUAUUGGUUGUGUACUAAUGCACUGUGUGACAAGUGGAUCUUCAAACAAGCUGACUUUUAGCAAAGGAACAAAGCUUUUUAUCCACACCAGUAAGUGGAUGCACAAACUCUUUGAAUGAUUCAAUAGCAGUAGAACAUGAAUAGAACAAUAUUACGUAUGUCAAGAGAAAGAUUUUUGAGUUGAAAGAUAUCUCAACUUUGCCAUACCAUACUCUUCAGUUUACAUGCUUUUAGCAUACAAAGAGUGAUACAAAUGAGAAAUCAAUUAAUAAAAAGAGAACUUUGAUUACAUGAUGAUAAUUAUAUUAGUGAUGUGGAUUGAAAAAGAAAGAAUUUGGGUUUUAUGUGCCAUGGGUUUUUGGCAUGAUGUCUUCCUUAGUGUGACUAACCAGGGAAAUAAGUUCAUUUUUGGUCAAGGAACUAAACUGACGGUCGAACCAGGCAAGUCAAAUUCACAAAAUCACUAAAUGUCUGCAAACAGGGACAUGUUCUGUUCAGGCUGUUCUUGUUAAGAGGGUUUAUGGAAAGACAUUAUACUCCUUGUAGUGGAGGAAUAUACACUCUUAAUGGGACAAAGGUAGUACAUUGUUAGAGUAAUAGAACAUGAAUUGAACUAAAGUAUGCAUUAAGAAGGAACAGCCAACCAACUGCCAGACUACCAUUAAAAUAAGUCUUUUUAAAUCCUUGUUUCAAAAUUAAAUUAAAUUACGAAAGUAACUUCUAAACUAUUACUAAAGGCCGGAUAAACAUAUUUUUCAAAAAAAUUGCAUGAUACAAAGUGUGUAAGUGUUGUCGAUAGUUCUGGGUUUUUGGCAUGGUGUCGUUCUUAGUGUGACUCAGGGAGCACAGAAGAUCAUUUUUGGUCGAGGAACUAAACUGACUGUGGAAUCAGGCAAGUGCAAUCCCAAUAAAUCUCUUAAUUUAGAUGUGAGGGAAAUCGCCAGGAGGAUUAGGUAUUUGUUUUGAAGGCACUGUGUAGAUUGUAGACAAGCUGACCAUUAGGUAAGGAGCAAAGCUUUUUAUCCUAACCAAAAAUUCACAACAUUUCAAGAUUAGUCAGAACUUAUAUCUAGCUAAAUAUUAAGAAUAACUCCAUGUGAUAGAACAUAAUGAAGUCAUCCUGACAAGCACGACUUAAGACAGAACAGACUGAAAAACUGUUUGAAAUUAAUGUAAGUAAUUGUGGAAUGUGAAUCAAGUCAGAGUGGGAGCAACUAGCCCUGUUUUUGUAGUCAGAUAUAUUGCAGUGUGAAUACUGGUAGUCAGGGAAGAGUCUUCUUUGGACGUGGAACUAAGCUCAUUGUCCAAACAAGUAAGUCACAAGCUAAGCAGUAUUAUUUUCUUCUUUUUUUCUUUUUGCAGUGAAGAAAAUGUACUUUUCUAACUAAGAAUGCCAACCCCAAAUGUAGUUAAAAGAUAUACACAUCUAUAUCAAAUACACGUAUUAAUUACGUAUUAAAUGUAUCUAAGUGUAGUGUUUAUAAAUGUGAAUGCUAUUGAGAUGUAUGAGACAUUUUUUUAAAUUGUAAUUGUCAUAAUAGCGUUACUCAAACCAAAAUGUAUAUAAACCAACAAUUAACUGAACGAUCAAGUCUUUAUAAACUAUUACUAAAAAACAUCAUAAAAGUAUUUUCUCCACUUAAAAGCUUAAAAAUAUAACAUAUGUAGUCGAUAGUUCUGGGUUUUUGGCAUGGUGUCUUACUUAGUGUGACUGAUCAGGGAGGAAGGAAGAUCAUUUUUGGUCGAGGAACUAAACUGACUGUGGCAUCAGGCAAGUGAAAUGUCAUGAAAUAUCUUAAUUGUAUAUGAGAGAAAUGGGCAUACAGGUUUGAGGUAGUUAUUGUGUAUUAAGGCAAUGUGUAGCUGGUGGAUUUGCAGCAAAGCUGACCUUUAUCAAAGGAACAAAGCCUUUCUUUUCAGGCCAAUUAGUGGACAUGGAUUUGUUAUGAUUUAGUUGUAGUGUUUCAGGAUUUAGUGCAUUAAUAUCUAUCAUUACUAACAGAUCAAUUCCAUUUUAUUUUAGCAUUUUUGCUAUUAGCAGAUGCUCAUCAAACAGGCUAGACAGUAUAAAUACAACAUUUUAUUGUAUAUGUGGAAACAUUUUGUGUAGAUUAAAACAUAGGUCGUCCUUAAGAAUGAAAUCCUUAAGGUGUUCUUGUCAUGAUGCUGCAUAAUGUGUGACUGCUGGGGGUGGAUCUGGCAAGCUUAUCUUUGGAAGUGGCACCAAAUUACUAAUUGAAUCAAGUGAGUAUUCUGUAGAUGUUUUGUAGUUCUCCUGGUUCUUUGUUAUAUAAUACUAUUGACAUCCGACAAAAUCCCAAGUUUCUGUGAAAUGAAAGUCCUAUAAUAACACUGCAUCACAAUGCACUGAAAAUCAUCAAUUAAUCAAAAAUGCAAAUCAUCUUAAGUAGUAUCAUCUUUAGUAAACUAAAGCGUCUACUGAAUACUACAACCAUAACCAUAAACAAAUUAUGUAAGGAGUAUGUUAUGUGCUUUGGAUUGGAAGAGCAGCUCUUGUAAUUUUUGAUAAGCCAUUACCCAGUGUGUGAAUGAAGAUUAUCUUUGGAAGGGGAACCACUGUACUUGUACAAACAAGUAAGCCUAAUUUACUUUUUCACAACAUGCAUCGGAUUUGGACGUUGGUUAGAUAAAUGGUGGAAAGUUGAAAUUACAAUGGACAAUUCAUUUGUACAAUUAAUGUACAGAUUGUAACUCAUAAUAUUAAAUAUUCAAGUUUAUGUAGUCAGGUAUGACACUGUGUGACUACUAGUAAUCAGGCAAAACUUCUCUUUGCUCAUGGAACCAAAGUCAUUGUCCAAACAAGUAAGUAUGUUAUAAACAAUUAUAAUGGUAUAUUCUUAGGAACUUUACUGUUGCUCUUCCCUAUUAAUGUUAAAAGUUUAACUUUUACUUCUACAAAGAAUCCAGACCUGAUAGAGAAAUGGUAAAUAUAGAUUUGACAAAGCCCUGGUUGCACAAUGCAGUAUAAAUAUGUAUACAUUUCAUUGUGUAUGUCAGGAGCUAUUUGAGAUAGAUUAAAACAUAGGUCGUCCUUAAGACUCCUUGUGAGGUGUUCUUGUCAUGAUGCUGCAUGAUGUGUGAAUUCUGGUAGUGGAAAUGGCAAGCUUAUCUUUGGAAGUGGCACCAAAUUACUAAUUGAAUCAAGUGAGUAUUCUGCACCAAUUUUUUUAUGACAAUAGAGCAGUCAAUAGUAUUUGUUGUGAAGUUUUUAGUAGUGUGACUACUGGAGGUGGACUUGCUAAGCUUAUUUUUGGAAAUGGCACAAAGCUGAUAAUUGAGAAAAGUAAGUUGUUUACACCCUUGUUUGUUUUCUUAUUUAGCAGUAAGAUAGAUGCCAUAAAACGUUUGAUAGAGAAAUAUGUAUUUGAAUAUCUUUGAAUAUGAAUGUUUUCUAAUUAUAUCUACAAAAUUAGCAUAAACCAAGGUAUCUUGUGAUGAGAGCUUUGUGCAAAAGUACAUGCAUAAGCCUGGUUUUUGCUGGGAUGCCCCAUAUUGUGUAACUACUGGACUGAAGAAAAUAAUCUUUGCAACCGGAACCAAACUAGCUGUCUUUUCCAGUAAGUACUUUUACAAAAUUCUACUGAUCCACUAGUGUAGAUUGUUGGUCAAAAUAGCAAAAAUUUGUGUUAAUUUCAGACUUCAGAUUUCCCCAUUUGCCUUGAAGUAUAUGUGUGAGACUAAAGUACUGUGUGACACAGAACACCAACAAAAUGAUCUUUGGAACUGGUACAAGGCUGAUUGUUGGCAACAGUAAGUGUGAGUUCUGUUGAAUUAUCAAGUU
Long non-coding RNA from Clupea harengus (Atlantic herring), 8780 nucleotides. Lineage: Eukaryota; Metazoa; Chordata; Actinopteri; Clupeiformes; Clupeidae. The record is from Ensembl.